RNAcentral lists this long non-coding RNA (397 nucleotides) under Manihot esculenta (cassava). Its description in RNAcentral is "long non-coding RNA (MESC_LNC004227)". The record is from RNAcentral. Lineage: Eukaryota; Viridiplantae; Streptophyta; Magnoliopsida; Malpighiales; Euphorbiaceae.
UCCAUCUUCCUCAACUCCUUCUUUAUCAUCAUCCAACCCCCCUGCAACUUUUAAGCCAACUUUCACUCCGGCUUCCUCAAAUCUCAUAAAAAUUCCUGAAGUCCAAAGAUCCUAUUAUGAAUCGUCUCCAUCACCCUCUAAGAACCUUCAAUCUUUUAAGCCAACACUGUCUCCAGCUUACUCAAAUUUUAUCAAAAUGCCUGAAGUCCAAAGGUCCUGUUACGAAUCAUCUCCAUCACCCUCCAAGAACCUUCCAUCUUUUAAGCCAACACUGGCUCCAGCUUCCUCAAAUGUCACAGGUCAACAGACAGAAGACAAUUAUGUAUUAGUUCAAAAGGAUGCAGAACCUAUUUAUAUGAUUCCCAAGGAUAUACAGGAUUUGAUCAAGAAAGACAUG